AGUAGAAAUCUCUUCCCAUCACCUGCCCCCAACAUUACAAAGCCACAAGAAGAGAACACCGAUCCUUCCAGAAUCCGGCGGCUGACUAUUUAGUGAGAUUUCUUAAGGUACCCAGUACUACACGAUUUUUCACUAAAGUUGGAUCUGCACAGCCUUUUCUGCUCUGUGAAACAACUGCACUGAACUUUACUGUUAGCGACUGGAUACAGCUGAUCCACUCAUAUCCUGCUACUGUUUUUCAUCUGCUGAAUGUUUUUGACUCAAGCACUGCUGUACUGUUGCAAAGUCAAAGGUACUGAAUUAACUUCACUGACACAGGACUCACAUUCACUGAUAUGUUCAGGACUUAAGUAUUAAACACCAUUUGAUCACAUCAUAUAAUUCUGAUGACAGAAAUCCAUAUAUUGUGCAUUCAUCGUUUAUUUAAAAAAUUAACCUAUAAUGUAAACGUGCUUGUUCGUUAAUAAAAAAAAUAGUUUGUUUGAAACAACUGUU
Non-coding RNA from Pimephales promelas (fathead minnow), 495 nucleotides. Lineage: Eukaryota; Metazoa; Chordata; Actinopteri; Cypriniformes; Leuciscidae. The record is from RefSeq and is a predicted model, not a curated record.